RNAcentral lists this small RNA (46 nucleotides) under Plasmodium falciparum 3D7. RNAcentral describes it as "Pfa-mtR7547". Lineage: Eukaryota; Apicomplexa; Aconoidasida; Haemosporida; Plasmodiidae. The record is from RNAcentral.
UCGUAGUAAAUACAUAUGUUACUCCAUCUCAAAUUGUACCUGAAUG